This 700-nucleotide ribosomal RNA is filed under the name uncultured bacterium. Its description in RNAcentral is "bacterial SSU rRNA". It matches the Rfam family "Bacterial small subunit ribosomal RNA", at positions 421 to 1105 of the family's 1533-position model. The record is from RNAcentral.
GGUCGUAAAGCUCUGUCAAGUGGGAAGAAACCACGAAGCGUUAAUAUCGCUUUGUGCUGACGGUACCACUGAAGGAAGCACCGGCUAACUCCGUGCCAGCAGCCGCGGUAAUACGGGGGGUGCAAGCGUUAUUCGGAAUCAUUGGGCGUAAAGGGCGCGUAGGCGGUUUGUUAAGUCAGAUGUGAAAGCCCGGGGCUCAACCCCGGAAGUGCAUUUGAUACUGACAAGCUUGAACAUAGUAGAGGCAAGGGGAAUUCCCAGUGUAACGGUGAAAUGUAUAGAUAUUGGGAGGAACACCAGUGGCGUAAGCGCCUUGCUGGGCUAGCGCUGACGCUGAGGAACGAAAGCCAGGGGAGCGAAUGGGAUUAGAUACCCCAGUAGUCCUGGCCGUAAACGAUGGAUACUAGGUGUGGUGGGUAUCGACCCCCACCGUGCCGAAGUUAACGCGUUAAGUAUCCCGCCUGGGGAGUACGCACGCAAGUGUGAAACUCAAAGGAAUUGACGGGGGCCCGCACAAGCGGUGGAACAUGUGGUUUAAUUCGAUGCAACGCGAAGAACCUUACCAGGGCUUGACAUCUGAGGAACUUCUGGGAAACUAGAAGGUGCCUGCUUCGGUAGGAACCUCAAGACAGGUGGUGCAUGGCUGUCGUCAGCUCGUGUCGUGAGAUGUUGGGUUAAGUCCCGCAACGAGCGCAACCCU